RNAcentral lists this transfer RNA (68 nucleotides) under Marmota marmota marmota (Alpine marmot). It matches the Rfam family "tRNA". From Rfam's summary of the family: Transfer RNA (tRNA) molecules are approximately 80 nucleotides in length. Their secondary structure includes four short double-helical elements and three loops (D, anti-codon, and T loops). The record is from Rfam by way of RNAcentral. RNAcentral also lists the same sequence under 4 other names. Lineage: Eukaryota; Metazoa; Chordata; Mammalia; Rodentia; Sciuridae.
GUGGAUAUGGCUCAGUGGUAGAGUGCAUGCCUGGCAUGUAUGAGGCCCUGGGUUCCAUCCCUAGCACA